Non-coding RNA from Castor canadensis (American beaver), 260 nucleotides. The record is from RefSeq and is a predicted model, not a curated record. Lineage: Eukaryota; Metazoa; Chordata; Mammalia; Rodentia; Castoridae.
AUUCUUCAGUAUGAUAUGUGGAAUGUUACUCCCACAGACCUAUGGGACUGGAAACUUCUCAAGGAGAAGAUUGCACAGUAUGGUAUAAGAAACAGUUUACUUAUUGCCCCAAUGCCCACUGCCUCAACUGCUCAGAUCCUUGGGAAUAAUGAAUCCAUUGAACCGUAUACCAGUAACAUCUAUACUCGCAGAGUCUUGUCAGGAGAAUUUCAGAUUGUAAAUCCCACUUACUGAAAGAUCUACUUGAGCGUGGCUUGUGG